RNAcentral lists this ribosomal RNA (253 nucleotides) under uncultured bacterium. RNAcentral's name for it is "partial 16S ribosomal RNA". It matches the Rfam family "Bacterial small subunit ribosomal RNA", at positions 524 to 776 of the family's 1533-position model. The record is from RNAcentral.
UACAGAGGGUGCAAGCGUUGUUCGGAAUUAUUGGGCGUAAAGCGCGUGUAGGCGGCGUGACAAGUCGGGUGUGAAAGCCCUCAGCUCAACUGAGGAAGUGCGCCCGAAACUGUCGUGCUUGAGUGUCGGAGAGGGUAGCGGAAUUCCCCAAGUAGAGGUGAAAUUCGUAGAUAUCGGGAGGAACACCAGUGGCGAAGGCGGCGAUCUGGGAAGAUACUGACGCUGAGGUGCGAAAGCGUGGGGAGCAAACAGG